GAUGAUGGCUCAGGAUGAACGCUGGCGGCGUGCCUAACACAUGCAAGUCGAGCGAAGCACUUUGCUUAGAUUCUUCGGAUGAAGAGGAUUGUGACUGAGCGGCGGACGGGUGAGUAACGCGUGGGUAACCUGCCUCAUACAGGGGGAUAACAGUUAGAAAUGACUGCUAAUACCGCAUAAGACCACAGCACCGCGUGGUGCGGGGGUAAAAACUCCGGUGGUAUGAGAUGGACCCG
RNAcentral lists this ribosomal RNA (236 nucleotides) under uncultured bacterium. RNAcentral describes it as "partial 16S ribosomal RNA". It matches the Rfam family "Bacterial small subunit ribosomal RNA", at positions 15 to 233 of the family's 1533-position model. The record is from RNAcentral.